CAGGUCCUAGAAGAGCCAAACAAUCUUGAAAAUGAAGAAAAAAUGGGAGGAAUCACUCUACGUGAUAAGAAUUCCUAUAUGGGUACAGUAAUAAAAGCAGUAUGGUAUUGAUGGAGAGAUUGAUACACAAGAUUAACAGAACAGAAUAGAGAUUCCAGAAAUGGACCCAUACAAGUAUGGCCACCUGAUUUUUGGCAAAAGAACCUUGACCUAAAGCUCUUACAAUGUACUAAAAUUAUCUAAAAAUGUAUCAUAGACAUAAAUGUAAAAAUUAUUAAACUUUUAGAAGAUAAUAUAAAAUAAAUUUUUCAUGACCUAGGGUUAGGCAAAGAAUUCUUAAACAGGGAAAUCCAUAAAAUAAGUAAAAUCAAUACAUUAGAAUUUAUCAAAAUUUAGAACUUUUGCUCCAUGAAAGACACUGAUAAGAGAAUGAAAAGAGAAGCUAAACACUGGGAGAAAAUAUAUGCAAACCACAUAUCAAACAGAGGAUUUAUAUCCUAAAUAAAUAAAAAGCUCUCAAAACUCAAUUGUAACAAACAACCCAAUUAAAAACAUCAAAAGACUUGAACAGGCAUUUUACCAAAGAAGAUAUAUAUAGAGAUGGCAAAUAAGCACAAGUAUUAUGUGGAAGUCAUGUGGUUUAUGUGAAAUGACCUCACUCCCAACUCCAGAGGGUCCUUUUUUUCACCACAAUGAUUGCAUCAUAUAAUCCAGGCCUACAUCAGUCAGUAGACGGAAUUCCUGGGCCACAGGGAUUGAGUCAGGGAUAGUUCAACGGGAACAAAAUUCAGGCCCUUUGAAAAAUGAUUGUGGAAAGUGACCAUAUCCCUAUUUGUGGCAGGCAGCCAUCUUGUGACCAUGAAGAAGUAUCCUGGAGACAAAGCUAACACACACAAAAUAGGGCAGCACUGAGAUCAGGACCACAGCUCUGAUCAAACUGUGCCUAAAACUUACAUACCUCUAGACUUAUCAGUUACAUGAGGCAAUGUCCUAUGCUUGACUCGCAUUUUCUCUUACCUGCAACUGAAACAUCUUUAUGUCUACCACACUUAACAGUCAACAUCCUUCCACACGUUACCUCCAGGGAACUUUUCAUGGCUGGCAAAUGCUCUUCUCUCUUUUCCUUUGAGCUCCUCCAGUCCCAAGAGUCUGAGUCACUCACCUUAUCAUUUCUCUCUCUCAGACAAACACACAUAUACAUACACACACACCCCACACACACACACACCAAACCUCUGUGGCACUUUUGUGGUGUUUUCCCUAACUUUCCACCCUUCCCUUGGUUAUAGCCCUGACCCUGGUACGAUAUAACAUUCAACAUUACACUGAAUUGUGACUGUCAGUGCUUGUCUCCUCCUCCCCUGAAGACUGUUAGCUCCUGAGGGCCUGACAGUCCCUUGACUCAACUCCUUUCUGCUUCACUGUUUCAUGCUUUGACCCAAAAAAGAUGAGGCUUAGUAGGGAGAGAGGUGGAAGGGUGAAGGGCAUCCAUCCCUUUGUUUACUAACAUUUGUGUGUCCCUCCCUAGUUACCUGCCUCCAUGCCUUUGCUGGAGAGGAAGCCACCUAGGUUGACUCCACCUGGAAUGUCUAUUUUCACACAUUCCAAAUCCUACCCUUUCAAACUCAAGGCCAACUCUGGAAGGAGAAAGGGCUAUGACUGACCAGGAAGGGACAUGUGGGAACUUUCUGGGAUUAUGGUAGUGUUCUGUAUCUUGAUAGGGAUGUGGGUUACACAGGUCUAUACAUUUGUCAAAACAUGUGAAAUUAUACUCUUAAGAUGUGUGCAUUUAUUUCAUCGUAUAUUUUACCUUAAAAAAGAUUCAAAUAUUGAACUCUAGUAAAUGGCAUGCAUGCUGAAAUGUUUAAAGGAAUGUGUACACAUGUCCAAAAUUUUGAAAUGCAUAAAGCGUCGAUACAUGGGUAUGCAUAUGUGAUAAAGCCAAGUGUAGUAAAAUACUAAUUGUAGAAUCUGGGUGGUGGAUAUAUGGGUGUUCACAGUACAAUUAUUUUGACUUUUAUGUCUGAAAAUGGUCAUCACAAAAUGUUAGGGAAAAAAAAUAAGAGAUGUGGGUUAACAUCUCUGGUCUCUGGUAUCUUCAUAGCCACAGACUUGGUUUAUACCUCAUUACAUCUUUUUUUUUUUUUUUUUUUUUUUUUUUUUUUUUUGAGACAAGAGUUUUGCUCUUGUUGCCCAGGCUGGAGUGCAAUGGCAUGAUCUCAGCUCACUGCAACCUCCACCUCCUGGGUUUAAGCGAUUCUCCUGCCUCAGCCUUCCGAGUAGCUCGGAUUACAGGCAUGCGCCACCACGCCCGGCUAAUUUUUUGUAUUUUUAUUAGAGACAGGGUUUCUCCAUGUUGUUCAGACUGGUCUCUAAGUCCCGACCUCAGGUGAUCUGCCCACCUCGGCCUCCCAAAGUGCUGGGAUUACAGGCGUGAGCCACCGCACCUGGCCCUAGACCUCAUUACAUCUUAACUGGAAUCUUGCAAUCAACUUCACACUGGCCUCCAAGUUAGCCCACUGCAGUCUCUCCUCAUCCCAAGGAUCGCCAGAGAGAAUCUUCCAAAACACUGGACUUCCGUGACCCAGUCCCUGCCAACCUCUUCAGCUUCAUCCCUGACACUUGCUACCUUACUGCAGCCUGUACUCCAGCUCAACUCAAGGGCUUGUAGUUCCACUCACACACCAGGCUACUUUAUGACUUUCUAAGUUUGCUCAUGCUGUUCCUUUUGCUUGGAAUGCUUUUUUCCAACUCAUCCUCUGCCCUCUUUGCCUGGUGAGUGCUCUUCAAACUUAAUCCAGGCAUUACAUCUUCCCAGAAGCAUUUCUGGCCACUCAAACUGGGUUCGGUCUCCUUCUUUCAUGCUCCCAUAGCACCUCAAACUUAUUCGUAACAUAGUAUUUACCCACUAUGAUGUAUGUGGGUUUCCAUGUCUGUAUACUAAACUACAUACUCUUUGAAGAUCAAGCUCUCCAAUGGUAUGCACAGGGUCUGAUACAACAGGCUUUAAUAAACGACUGUAGAACUGAACAAUUUAUAUUGAACUGGCAUGGAAGGCACUCUGGAACCUUCCAACAACUUUGUGUCAUAGAUUUGCUUGCUAUCUCUACUACAGUUUAAGGCCCACCACCCCUAUUGACUCAGCCAUCUCCCUAUGUUUCUCAACCACCACCUCCCUCAUGAAGCCAACUCAAUUUCCCGCCCCAGUUUGGAAUACUCUCCCUAAUUCCUUAAAGAUUUACUUUCUCUGUACUUCGAGAUUCUAGGUGUUGGGCAAAUUUUGACUGGGAAAAAAUAAACUAUGUUUGCUGAUCACCUGAGUGCCACACAUUGAAUUUUCAUAUACAAAUAUAUAUAUACGUAUAUAUAUAUAUAUAUAUUAGGUAAAAGCCAGACAGAACUAAGAAUUUUCUUUAAAGGCACUAGCUAAUAUAAUUCCUCCCAAGAAUCCUGUGAAGUAGGGAGAUCGUAUCUUCAUUUCACAGAUGGCAAAACUCAGGCAAGGAAAUAUGAAGCAACCAGUUCAAGAUCAUAUAGGAAGCAGAGCUGUAAUAUAAUCACUGGUCUUCUCAACUCCCAGGCACAUCCUCUUUCCACCACAUCCCAUUGUCUCCAGGUUGGGCCAGGUUCUGGAAAGCCUUGAGAGCCAGAGGGUGUAAUAAGCAGUUGCAAGUCAUGAAGUGUUCUUAAGCAGGAGGGGAUGAUGAAUAUAGAACUCUGGGGAGAUACUCCUGAAAGGUUGUGUAUGACAGAAUUUAGUGUGAGGGAGGCUACUGGACUCCUGACAAGGAAAAUACAAAAUGAGUACUGUAACUCUCUUAACACAUUCAUUGGUGAGUGCUGGCAUUACGAUGGGGUCCCAUGGAAAAGGAGAGGGUCUGAGGUUAUUUUGAGAAUUAAAAAGCUGAAGGGGAUAUAGGAGUCCAUCUUCUGUCUCUUGGGUUGAGUGGCCGACCUCAUGGUCUGCCCCCUGGAAAUGGCCUGGGAUUUCUGCCUUUUAUGGGAUGUAGGAGUCCAGGAAAAGGUCCAAGUUGACUGGACAGUUGGGUGAAGGUUUCCUUAGGAAAGUGGCAUUCGAUGGGACACUAGAUGAGAUGGUGCCGUCCCCAUCUCUCCUUCAGUAGCUUCCAAACUAGCCUUCUUGACUUCAGUCUCUCCCCGUCUUCACCCACCUCCAAAGGGAUCCUUUUCACACUUAUUUUGUCUUUUUUUUUCUUCCUUUUUGUGGAGAACGGGGUCUCGCUAUAUUGCCCAGGCAGGUCUCGAACUUCUGGGCUCAAGCUAUCCUCCCGCCUCUGCCUCCCUGAGAGCUGGGAUUACAGGCGUGAGCCACCGCACCCGGCCCAAAGGGAUCCUUUUUAAACGCCAAGUUGGAUCAUGUGAUUUUCUGCUUAAAACCGUUUAAAGGUUCUCUGCCAUUCUUGGGAUAAAGUAAGGUCUUUUGACAAACAUCAAAAUUACAUAUCCUCCAUAACCUGGGAUUUUAAAAUAAAUAUUAUGCCUAAAAACUAACCAAUUAUGAUCAUAUGCCUCCUCAAACUACAUAUUCCCUCUUGGGGAUUGUGCUGAUGUUCCCCCAGGUGAGUCCCUGCUGCAGUUUACGAUAUUGUUGACCUAUAUCUAUACACACACACACACACACCCCAACCUGUUUUUACUCAAGCUACUGCUUCGGCUUGGACUACUCUCCCAUUGUUCUUAGCUAAACCAACUAAUUGCUUUUCAUCUUUCAGCUCAGGCACCACCCAAUAGGAAGGCUUCCCCAAUCUCCUUGUUUCUCUAGGAUGGAUUCCCUGCUCAUCUCUAUCAAUGUGCUGUAUCAUACGAUGCUCCUGUCCUCCAUUCAACUUACUGGAGGGCAAGUGCCAUUUCAGUUAACUUGGUGUGUAUGGAGUCCUGAUGAAGGGGCCUGUGUAGUUGAGGCAGGAGAAACAACAUGAGAUAGCAGAAAUGGGGAUCUGCACUCAGAACAAGUUAGGGCUAGAGGAUUCGGUUUGGGAAUUAACAGCAUCCAGAAAGUUUAGGGGCAACCAAGCUUCUAGAGGGCUUCAUAGUUAAUUCCAUCUUGCAAAUGUAGAAACUGAAGACACAGACAAGCAGUUUCUCCCAAAUUACUUGGUUAGUCAUUGAGAAGGAGGGCUCUUUAGCCACAAGUCCUGUGCACUUUUCCACUCCAUACUGGAAAGGGGGAUGACUGAAGUUGGGUGCCUCGUUUCCCUCCCAAUUUUGAGACAGGAACCUCUGAACUGCUGGCACCUCCUGCCUGGACUGAGGAAUAAGGUGACCAAGAUUCUAGCUUAUCCUCUAACCUGAGGCUGGUAAAAACAAAGCACGAAAAAGUGCUUUGUCCCUUGACUGAGGAAGGUGGGGUGGGAAUUGGUGACAAAAAUAACCCAGCCCAUCAUUCCUGCAAAGGCUUUAAAGCCCUUCUUUCCUGUUUCCUUUCUACCAGGAAAUACAGUUCUCUAUGCUUCAGACAUGAACAUUAUCAAAACCCCACCUACUCCUGAGACAGACUGUGAGAACUGGAGGAGGUCAUUUAACCAGUAGGUGCCAAAACCAGACAGCCUCACUCCAGACCCACAGAAGCAGAAUCUCCAGGAGGAAGUAAAUCUUGACUGGGUUCAAAAUACUUUAAUAGAUGACCCACAGACAGUAAGCAGCCUGCCCUGGCUCACCCACAGAGUCAGGGUGGUGGUGAAUUUGAAACUGAGGCUCCCAAGAUCACCCUGGGAGCUCUCCUUAGGAGAUAACUCUCAAUUCUGCAUCUUGCACAUAACAGAGGCUUAAUAAAGAUCUGUUGGGUGCUUGAGCCUCAGAAGAUUUUCUAAUAUGGUGAAGGCAAAGAACAUAAGUUUUGGAAUCAGGCAGAUCCUGCUGCAGACCACUGGCAAACUUCAGUCUCCUUAAACUGUUAAAUAGGACGAAUAUCCUCAUGGGGUUUUUCAGUGAGGAUUAAAUGAGAUAUCCCUAAGUAAAAUCCCUAGCCCAAUGCCUGGCACCCAAAAGGCACUUAAUAUAAUGGUAGUGUUUAUCAGUGAGAAGUGGUAGAACAGAGUGGUAAG
RNAcentral lists this long non-coding RNA (6065 nucleotides) under Homo sapiens (human). Its description in RNAcentral is "HSALNT0407621". The record is from RNAcentral. Lineage: Eukaryota; Metazoa; Chordata; Mammalia; Primates; Hominidae.